GGUGGGUGAUGCUUCUUGUACAAUUCUCCUCGAUGAUCCUUGACAACAAAAGGUUCAGUCAUUGCUUCACGAAUCCGAGCACCGUGGAAGCUCCCCGGAACCACUCUUGCACCAAGCCUAAAUUUCCUGCUUCUAAUCCAGCUUGAAUUAUCGGUGAACUCAAUCUCUCCGAGUGCUGCAAUUCCAUCUCUUAAAGUGACCGUCAAGCAAUCUCCUGCAAGCAAAGGCCUCUUGCCGGUUCUCUCCUUCAAUAUAUUUUUGUCGAAUUCUUCACUAUUCCAAGUAUUCCGAUCAUCAGAAGGGAAAUCUCCAUCAAGAACGACGAUUUCUAUUUUGAUUGGAGGAGGGGUUGGAACCACUACAUCACCUCUAGUGUCUACUAAAAGGAUAUGAAGGAAAGAGCUAUCUGUAUUAACGAUUUUGCUCCCUGUAAAUAUUGGGAGUGAAAGAUUUUUGCUAAACAUUAGUUGCAGGCUUGAUGGUACUGGCUCAGGUGCCUGGAUUCGCAACGAAGGAGACCGAGUGAAAGGGCGUGAUAAAUGCAUUUUCAGACUGCUCUCCACUUCUUCAUUCACCACUCGCCUGAGCAUUGGCUCCAAGGCCAUACAGAAGUUCUGUAAAGAAUUCACCAUAACCGCUUCUGUAAUUACUGAUGCAAAAGAAGGCCUAGUUCUCUUUCGUUUCUCAAUUAGGUGAUCUGGGUCGGAACCUGAUUCAUCAUGAAAUCGUUUCGCUGCCAUAAUUAGAGCCAAAAGAGAUUCAGAGAGAAGAUGAUGAUGAGAAGUUGCAG
This 790-nucleotide unclassified non-coding RNA is filed under the name Hevea brasiliensis (rubber tree). The record is from RNAcentral. Lineage: Eukaryota; Viridiplantae; Streptophyta; Magnoliopsida; Malpighiales; Euphorbiaceae.